This 771-nucleotide long non-coding RNA is filed under the name Daphnia magna. Its description in RNAcentral is "uncharacterized LOC116930457, transcript variant X1". Lineage: Eukaryota; Metazoa; Arthropoda; Branchiopoda; Diplostraca; Daphniidae. The record is from RNAcentral.
AUUAAAAACUCAAAAUUUCUGUUAAUUGUAAUUUGUCGCUUAUCGCUAUUCAUUUGUUUCCUUUUUUCCCUUUCCCUGACAGAGCCUGACGCCUGACUGAGUUAGUCUAUCAGUCUAUCUACUGUUUAUUGGAAAUUACAUGCAAUUCUGCACCUGAAUAACUCAAAGUUUAAGGACUUAUUUAGUUUGUCUAGCAUUUUUUCAUUGGAAUUGUCACAUCCUAAAGUGAGUCAACUUCAUUUCACUUGCAACUGUUGCAAGCUGCACCUGAAUAACUGACGUCACAUCCUAAGUGAGUCAAGUAGUCAACUUCAUUUCACUCGCAAGCUGCACAUGAAUAACUUUGAGUGUGACUCUGACGGCCUGAUUAAGUCAGUCCAUCUACUUUUGAUUGACAAUUGUCACAUCAACUUCAUUUCACUCGCAAGCUGCACCUGAAUAACUCUGAGUCUGACUCUGAGACUGACGUAAGACGCAACAAAAGCGCAUACAACAAGAACGCCAACCGUCACCAUCCAAAACAACUUGACCAACAAAUUCCACUUUUAAAAAACUACGAUUUCAUUCAAUAACCAAAAAAAUCACUUACUGAACACAAACAUACCAUGAUGGAAUACAACCGACAAAACUCCACCGUACGUACAUCACACACAACCAACGACGAAACAAUGACAAACACAGGGAUGCCAAUUUAAAUAAAUUUUCACUAAAAAAAUUUUUUACGCUUUGAAACUAUUGAAAAGUACACGGAACAGUCCAUACUUCUUUAAA